GAUGAAGAACGCAGCGAAAUGCGAUAAGUAGUGUGAAUUGCAGAAUUCAGUGAAUCAUCGAAUCUUUGAACGCACAUUGCGCCCUUUGGUAUUCCUUAGGGCAUGCCUGUUCGAGGGUCAUUUAAACCUUCAAGCUAAGCUUGGUGUUGGGUGACUGUCCGCUUCACUGCGGACUCGCCUCAAAAUUAUUGGCGGCCGGUACAUUGGCUUCGAGCGCAGCAGAAACGCGAACUCGGGCCCGUCGUAUUGGCUCCCAGAAGCUAUCUUCACAAUUUUGACCUCGGAUCAGGUAGGGAUACCCGCUGAACUUAAGCAUAUCAAUAAGCGGAGGA
This 332-nucleotide unclassified non-coding RNA is filed under the name soil metagenome. Its description in RNAcentral is "partial contains 5.8S ribosomal RNA, internal transcribed spacer 2, and large subunit ribosomal RNA". The stretch from base 1 to 120 matches the Rfam family "5.8S ribosomal RNA", at positions 35 to 154 of the family's 154-position model. The record is from RNAcentral.